This 253-nucleotide ribosomal RNA is filed under the name uncultured bacterium. RNAcentral's name for it is "partial 16S ribosomal RNA". It matches the Rfam family "Bacterial small subunit ribosomal RNA", at positions 524 to 776 of the family's 1533-position model. The record is from RNAcentral.
UACAGAGGUCUCAAGCGUUGUUCGGAUUCAUUGGGCGUAAAGGGUGCGUAGGCGGCGCGGUAAGUCGGGUGCGAAAUCUCGGGGCUUAACUCCGAAACUGCAUUCGAUACUACCGUGCUUGAGGACUGGAGAGGAGACUGGAAUUUACGGUGUAGCGGUGAAAUGCGUAGAUAUCGUAAGGAAGACCAGUGGCGAAGGCGGGUCUCUGGACAGUUCCUGACGCUGAGGCACGAAGGCCAGGGGAGCAAACGGG